GCUUCGGUGGCCUAGUGAUUAGAGCGUCCACCUCAGAUGCGGAAGGUCAUGGGUUCGAUCCCAGGUUGAGUUA
Potamilus streckersoni is the source of this 73-nucleotide non-coding RNA. NCBI's taxonomy places the organism in Eukaryota, Metazoa, Mollusca, Bivalvia, Unionida, Unionidae. The record is from the annotation of a GenBank genome assembly.